UAGCUCAGUCGAUAGAGCAUGAGACUCUUAAUCUCAGGGUUGUGGGUUCAUGCCCCAC
Molecule: transfer RNA, 58 nt
Filed under: Anas platyrhynchos (mallard)
Lineage: Eukaryota; Metazoa; Chordata; Aves; Anseriformes; Anatidae
Also listed under: 2 other names
Rfam family: tRNA
About the family: Transfer RNA (tRNA) molecules are approximately 80 nucleotides in length. Their secondary structure includes four short double-helical elements and three loops (D, anti-codon, and T loops).
Source: Rfam by way of RNAcentral